Long non-coding RNA from Magallana angulata, 657 nucleotides. RefSeq lists it as uncharacterized. The record is from RefSeq and is a predicted model, not a curated record. NCBI's taxonomy places the organism in Eukaryota, Metazoa, Mollusca, Bivalvia, Ostreida, Ostreidae. The transcript is spliced from 2 exons.
UAGGCGUAAUACGAACGAGAUUAUAGGAACGCGGAAAUAAAUACCAUGGUAUAUAUAUGUUGGACGAUUUGGAAACUUCUUCACUACUGUUGCACUAGCUUGUUUUAAACACUUAAGUUCUUUGGAUAACGCCAAAAAGUACAUCACCAACAAAGAUGAAAUCUGUAUGCAUCGCACUCAUGAUGGCCCUUGUCCUGGUCUCCGUUGUCCAAGGUCAAUGGGGAAGCUACUACGGGGGUGGUGGAAACUACUACGGUGGACACGGACUGGGAGGUGGAUAUUACGGGGGUGGAUUGAUCGGUGGCGGACUCGGCGGAUGGAAUUCCGGAUUUGGUCGAUUGGGUGGCGGCGGACUUCUCGGUCUUGGACGUAGAAGUCUUGGAAGAAGAGGAUAUUAUUAGUCUCAUGUUUACUUCACAUAACGAACUUCACUGAAAUUACUGUGUUGACAUAAAUCCAAAUCAUGAGUGACAGCCAUCACAGACUUUGGUCAUCAGUCAUUUAUUUAAUAUAUCAUUUCUCGUUUGUUGUACGUUAUGAUUACUUUUUAUUUAUAUUUGUUAUUAUAUAAAACAAGAUAUUUCAUUGUAUGUUUUGAAUGGAAUGCAAUGCUUUUUAAAAUGUAUAUUAAGUUGAUGAAAUAAAUGAUAAAACAAA